RNAcentral lists this ribosomal RNA (2820 nucleotides) under Klebsiella pneumoniae. RNAcentral describes it as "23S ribosomal RNA". Lineage: Bacteria; Pseudomonadati; Pseudomonadota; Gammaproteobacteria; Enterobacterales; Enterobacteriaceae. The record is from RNAcentral.
UUAAGCGACUAAGCGUACACGGUGGAUGCCCUGGCAGUCAGAGGCGAUGAAGGACGUGCUAAUCUGCGAAAAGCGUCGGUAAGGUGAUAUGAACCGUUAUAACCGGCGAUGUCCGAAUGGGGAAACCCAGUGCAAUUCGUUGCACUAUCGUUAACUGAAUACAUAGGUUAACGAGGCGAACCGGGGGAACUGAAACAUCUAAGUACCCCGAGGAAAAGAAAUCAACCGAGAUUCCCCCAGUAGCGGCGAGCGAACGGGGAGCAGCCCAGAGUCUGAAUCAGCUUGUGUGUUAGUGGAACGGUCUGGAAAGUCCGACGGUACAGGGUGAUAGUCCCGUACACCAAAAUGCACAGGUUGUGAACUCGAAGAGUAGGGCGGGACACGUGGUAUCCUGUCUGAAUAUGGGGGGACCAUCCUCCAAGGCUAAAUACUCCUGACUGACCGAUAGUGAACCAGUACCGUGAGGGAAAGGCGAAAAGAACCCCGGCGAGGGGAGUGAAAAAGAACCUGAAACCGUGUACGUACAAGCAGUGGGAGCACCUUCGGGUGUGACUGCGUACCUUUUGUAUAAUGGGUCAGCGACUUAUAUUCUGUAGCAAGGUUAACCGUAUAGGGGAGCCGCAGGGAAACCGAGUCUUAACUGGGCGUUAAGUUGCAGGGUAUAGACCCGAAACCCGGUGAUCUAGCCAUGGGCAGGUUGAAGGUUGGGUAACACUAACUGGAGGACCGAACCGACUAAUGUUGAAAAAUUAGCGGAUGACUUGUGGCUGGGGGUGAAAGGCCAAUCAAACCGGGAGAUAGCUGGUUCUCCCCGAAAGCUAUUUAGGUAGCGCCUCGUGAAUUCAUCUUCGGGGGUAGAGCACUGUUUCGGCUAGGGGGUCAUCCCGACUUACCAACCCGAUGCAAACUACGAAUACCGAAGAAUGUUAUCACGGGAGACACACGGCGGGUGCUAACGUCCGUCGUGAAGAGGGAAACAACCCAGACCGCCAGCUAAGGUCCCAAAGUCAUGGUUAAGUGGGAAACGAUGUGGGAAGGCACAGACAGCCAGGAUGUUGGCUUAGAAGCAGCCAUCAUUUAAAGAAAGCGUAAUAGCUCACUGGUCGAGUCGGCCUGCGCGGAAGAUGUAACGGGGCUAAACCAUGCACCGAAGCUGCGGCAGCGACACUAUGUGUUGUUGGGUAGGGGAGCGUUCUGUAAGCCUGCGAAGGUGWSCUGUGAGGSWUGCUGGAGGUAUCAGAAGUGCGAAUGCUGACAUAAGUAACGAUAAAGCGGGUGAAAAGCCCGCUCGCCGGAAGACCAAGGGUUCCUGUCCAACGUUAAUCGGGGCAGGGUGAGUCGACCCCUAAGGCGAGGCCGAAAGGCGUAGUCGAUGGGAAACAGGUUAAUAUUCCUGUACUUGGUGUUACUGCGAAGGGGGGACGGAGAAGGCUAUGUUAGCCGGGCGACGGUUGUCCCGGUUUAAGCAUGUAGGCUGRUUGUCCAGGCAAAUCCGGAUAAUCAAGGCUGAGGUGUGAUGACGAGGCACUACGGUGCUGAAGUAACAAAUGCCCUGCUUCCAGGAAAAGCCUCUAAGCAUCAGGUAACAUCAAAUCGUACCCCAAACCGACACAGGUGGUCAGGUAGAGAAUACCAAGGCGCUUGAGAGAACUCGGGUGAAGGAACUAGGCAAAAUGGUGCCGUAACUUCGGGAGAAGGCACGCUGGUGUGUAGGUGAAGYCCCUGCGGRUGGAGCUGAGACCAGUCGAAGAUACCAGCUGGCUGCAACUGUUUAUUAAAAACACAGCACUGUGCAAACACGAAAGUGGACGUAUACGGUGUGACGCCUGCCCGGUGCCGGAAGGUUAAUUGAUGGGGUUAUCCGUAAGGAGAAGCUCUUGAUCGAAGCCCCGGUAAACGGCGGCCGUAACUAUAACGGUCCUAAGGUAGCGAAAUUCCUUGUCGGGUAAGUUCCGACCUGCACGAAUGGCGUAAUGAUGGCCAGGCUGUCUCCACCCGAGACUCAGUGAAAUUGAACUCGCUGUGAAGAUGCAGUGUACCCGCGGCAAGACGGAAAGACCCCGUGAACCUUUACUAUAGCUUGACACUGAACAUUGAGCCUUGAUGUGUAGGAUAGGUGGGAGGCUUUGAAGCGUGGACGCCAGUCUGCGUGGAGCCAACCUUGAAAUACCACCCUUUAAUGUUUGAUGUUCUAACGUUGGCCCCUUACCGGGGUUGCGGACAGUGUCUGGUGGGUAGUUUGACUGGGGCGGUCUCCUCCCAAAGCGUAACGGAGGAGCACGAAGGUUAGCUAAUCCUGGUCGGACAUCAGGAGGUUAGUGCAAUGGCAUAAGCUAGCUUGACUGCGAGCGUGACGGCGCGAGCAGGUGCGAAAGCAGGUCAUAGUGAUCCGGUGGUUCUGAAUGGAAGGGCCAUCGCUCAACGGAUAAAAGGUACUCCGGGGAUAACAGGCUGAUACCGCCCAAGAGUUCAUAUCGACGGCGGUGUUUGGCACCUCGAUGUCGGCUCAUCACAUCCUGGGGCUGAAGUAGGUCCCAAGGGUAUGGCUGUUCGCCAUUUAAAGUGGUACGCGAGCUGGGUUUAGAACGUCGUGAGACAGUUCGGUCCCUAUCUGCCGUGGGCGCUGGAGAAUUGAGGGGGGCUGCUCCUAGUACGAGAGGACCGGAGUGGACGCAUCACUGGUGUUCGGGUUGUCAUGCCAAUGGCACUGCCCGGUAGCUAAAUGCGGAAGAGAUAAGUGCUGAAAGCAUCUAAGCACGAAACUUGCCCCGAGAUGAGUUCUCCCUGAGACUUUAAGUCUCCUGAAGGAACGUUGCGCCG